Molecule: ribosomal RNA, 490 nt
Filed under: Alternaria alternata
Lineage: Eukaryota; Fungi; Ascomycota; Dothideomycetes; Pleosporales; Pleosporaceae
Description: eukaryotic LSU rRNA
Rfam family: Eukaryotic large subunit ribosomal RNA
Source: RNAcentral
UGCCCUAGUAACGGCGAGUGAAGCGGCAACAGCUCAAAUUUGAAAUCUGGCUCUUUUAGAGUCCGAGUUGUAAUUUGCAGAGGGCGCUUUGGCUUUGGCAGCGGUCCAAGUUCCUUGGAACAGGACGUCACAGAGGGUGAGAAUCCCGUACGUGGUCGCUGGCUAUUGCCGUGUAAAGCCCCUUCGACGAGUCGAGUUGUUUGGGAAUGCAGCUCUAAAUGGGAGGUACAUUUCUUCUAAAGCUAAAUAUUGGCCAGAGACCGAUAGCGCACAAGUAGAGUGAUCGAAAGAUGAAAAGCACUUUGGAAAGAGAGUCAAACAGCACGUGAAAUUGUUGAAAGGGAAGCGCUUGCAGCCAGACUUGCUUACAGUUGCUCAUCCGGGUUUUUACCCGGUGCACUCUUCUGUAGGCAGGCCAGCAUCAGUUUGGGCGGUAGGAUAAGGUCUCUGUCACGUACCUCCUUUCGGGGAGGCUUAUAGGGGAGACGAC